Small nucleolar RNA from Meriones unguiculatus (Mongolian gerbil), 130 nucleotides. NCBI's taxonomy places the organism in Eukaryota, Metazoa, Chordata, Mammalia, Rodentia, Muridae. The record is from Ensembl.
CCUGCUCCUAGAGACAUGGCAGAUACAGCUGCUGUGUCACACGUGUGUCAGUAGGUGGCAGAGAGGAGAGAGGGCUGUUUAUGCUCAGGGUUCUGACCUGUGAACAUCUGAAUGAUUAGUAGCCUACAUU